This 253-nucleotide ribosomal RNA is filed under the name uncultured bacterium. Its description in RNAcentral is "partial 16S ribosomal RNA". It matches the Rfam family "Bacterial small subunit ribosomal RNA", at positions 524 to 776 of the family's 1533-position model. The record is from RNAcentral.
UACGUAGGGGGCUAGCGUUGCUCGGAAUUACUGGGCGUAAAGGGAGCGUAGGCGGAUAGUUUAGUCAGAGGUGAAAGCCCAGGGCUCAACCUUGGAAUUGCCUUUGAUACUGGCUAUCUUGGGUGUGGGAGAGGUAUGUGGAACUCCGAGUGUAGAGGUGAAAUUCGUAGAUAUUCGGAAGAACACCAGUGGCGAAGGCGACAUACUGGCCCAUUACUGACGCUGAGGCUCGAAAGCGUGGGGAGCAAACAGG